RNAcentral lists this ribosomal RNA (524 nucleotides) under uncultured bacterium. Its description in RNAcentral is "partial 16S ribosomal RNA". It matches the Rfam family "Bacterial small subunit ribosomal RNA", at positions 28 to 523 of the family's 1533-position model. The record is from RNAcentral.
GACGAACGCUGGCGGCGUGCCUAAUACAUGCAAGUCGAGCGCAGGAAACUGACGGAACUCUUCGGAGGGAAGGCAGUGGAAUGAGCGGCGGACGGGUGAGUAACACGUAAGGAACCUGCCUCAAGGAUUGGGAUAACUCCGAGAAAUCGGAGCUAAUACCGGAUAGUUCAACGGACCGCAUGGUCCGCUGAUGAAAGGCGCUCCGGCGUCACCUUGAGAUGGCCUUGCGGUGCAUUAGCUAGUUGGUGGGGUAACGGCCCACCAGGGCGACGAUGCAUAGCCGACCUGAGAGGGUGAUCGGCCACACUGGGACUGAGACACGGCCCAGACUCCUACGGGAGGCAGCAGUAGGGAAUCUUCCACAAUGGACGAAAGUCUGAUGGAGCAACGCCGCGUGAGUGAUGAAGGUUUUCGGAUCGUAAAACUCUGUUGUAAGGGAAGAACACGUACGAGAGGGAAUGCUCGUACCUUGACGGUACCUUACGAGAAAGCCACGGCUAACUACGUGCCAGCCGCCGCAGUAA